AGAGCGAACGCUGGCGGCAGGCCUAACACAUGCAAGUCGAGCGCCCCGCAAGGGGAGCGGCAGACGGGAGAGUAACACGUGGGAACGUGCCCUUUGGUUCGGAACAACACAGGGAAACUUGUGCUAAUACCGGAUAAGUCCGUAAGGAGAAAGAUUUAUCGCCAAAGGAUCGGCCCGCGUCUGAUUAGCUAGUUGGUGAGGUAACGGCUCACCAAGGCGACGAUCAGUAGCUGGUCUGAGAGGAUGAUCAGCCUCACUGGGACUGAGACACGGCCCAGACUCCUACGGGAGGCAGCAGUGGGGAAUAUUGGACAAUGGGCGCAAGCCUGAUCCAGCCAUGCCGCGUGGAUGAUGAAGGCCCUAGGGUUGUAAAGUCCUUUCGACGGGAGAUAAUGACGGUACCCGUAGAAGAAGCCCCGGCUAACUUCGUGCCAGCAGCCGC
Molecule: ribosomal RNA, 442 nt
Filed under: uncultured bacterium
Lineage: Bacteria
Description: SSU rRNA
Rfam family: Bacterial small subunit ribosomal RNA
Source: RNAcentral